Molecule: long non-coding RNA, 1041 nt
Filed under: Sus scrofa (pig)
Lineage: Eukaryota; Metazoa; Chordata; Mammalia; Artiodactyla; Suidae
Description: lncRNA (ENSSSCG00025060862.1)
Source: RNAcentral
CAACCAGGAAAGAAGAGCCAGAUGAGUCUUGACUGAAUGCUUUCCAAGGGUGAGGUCAUUCAUUCCUGCAGAGAAGCCCAGGAGCCUGGUACUGUUUUACAGAGGAAAUGCCCCCUAGCCUUGGAGAAGCUUGUCCCUACACGGCGGGAAUGGUAUAACCUGGAUUCUAAACUCCUUCUGAUUCUAGACCAUUCUCUUUCCUCAACACCAAGCGCUCUCAGAUAUUUUUUAAAGUGUUAGAAAACAUAGACUUUCUCUUUUCCAUAUAUUUUAUAGGAAAAACCAUCUUUGGAGCUGGGAAAGGGCCGGAGGUUGUCUGGGAAAAUAAGCUUGGACACUGAAAGCCGUGUGAACUUUGACCUGGGAUCCUAACCUCUGCUGCGUGAGCCGCUCUGCAGGGGGCCAAUCAGAAAGCAGAUCCCAUGAAAUUGCAUGACUGUCAGAACCAAAACCUGGGAUGUCCUCCUUACUGAGGAUGUUAUAACCUAAAUCAGUGGGUCUCAACCAAGAGCCACUCUGGCCCCCAGGGUGCAUUUGGCAAUGUCUGGAGAUGAUUUUGGUAGUUGCCAUUGGUGGUGGAGGUCACAGGCCCAGCAAGGCUGCUGAACUCUUCACAGUGCACAGGACAGCCCCACCACAAAGAAUGAGCUGGCUCAAAAUGUCACUAGAGCAAUUCCUUUUUUUGCCUGCUGGUCAAUGGCCUGAAGCGCCCCAAAUGAUGGUGGCCGCAAUUCCAUCACAGCGCCCAGGAGGAAGCAGGACCUGUAAGCCAGUGGAGCCUAAAGAUUGCUUCGUUCACCUGAUGGAAAUCCUAUAAGCCUCCGGCUCGGGGGGCAGGUUUCCUGCGGAACCACGUGGAUGGAUGUAAUGAUCCACAAGGUGCAUCUUGUUGUGUGUGGAGCUGCUUUUAAAACAGCAAAAGGUGUUGGUUUUUCCUCCCUGCUACCAUCACCCAGAGCCAGAGGGUGUGGGGAAAUAAGCAUUUUAAUGCACUGUUGGAGAGAAAAUAAAUCAUUUCACACUUUUCUGAAAUGAAUUUUG